AUGGUGACUUCCAGCCACAGCUCUUCAGAGUUGCCCUCCACCGAAACGCCCGCGCCGAGGACGCCCGCACCGACGCCGACAGAAGACGCCGACGACGCCCGCGACAUCCACGACGACGGCCUCCUCGCCAACACAGGAGUUCGUAUUCGUAUGGGCCCUACCACUCCCAACAGGACCCCCACUCCCAGCAGGACGCGCACCCCCUUCCAGGAUAUAAGCAACAACCAAACAUCAGGUAUUGAUCAUAACCCAGUCAGGACGCGCCCCCCCUUCCAGGAUAUAAGCAACAACCAAACAUCAGACCCAAAGGAACUAAAAAGGCAGAGGGAUAGAGAGCGGUAUGCAAAAAAUAAAGAUGAGAUUAAUAAGAGAAGGCGUGAAGCCUACAAAAGAAAAAAAAAUACCAGUGAGGAAAUAGAUGGCCUACAUAACGGAACACCGGCACAGCUAGCUGUAUCACAAGGUAAUGAUGAUCAAAUUUCAUUAUCUAUGCCCCAAUUGAAUUGGCAUGUAAUUAUUUUUUCUUCAUCUGUUCAAACACUAACGAGACUAAGAAUCGGAGGCAAAGGGAGCGUUAUGCACAGAAUAGAGAGGAAAUCUUAA
This 603-nucleotide ribosomal RNA is filed under the name Triticum aestivum (bread wheat). RNAcentral describes it as "partial small subunit ribosomal RNA". The record is from RNAcentral. Lineage: Eukaryota; Viridiplantae; Streptophyta; Magnoliopsida; Poales; Poaceae.